UGGGGAAUAUUGCGCAAUGGGCGAAAGCCUGACGCAGCGACGCCGCGUGAGGGAUGAAGGUUUUCGGAUCGUAAACCUCUGUCAGAAGGGAAGAAACCGCACUGUGCUAAUCAGCAGUGCCUUGACGGUACCUUCAAAGGAAGCACCGGCUAACUCCGUGCCAGCAGCCGCGGUAAUACGGAGGGUGCAAGCGUUAAUCGGAAUUACUGGGCGUAAAGCGCACGUAGGCUGCUUUGUAAGUCAGGGGUGAAAUCCCACGGCUCAACCGUGGAACUGCCUUUGAUACUGCUUAGCUUGAAGCCGGGAGAGGGUGGCGGAAUUCCAGGUGUAUGAGUGAAAUCCGUAGAUAUCUGGAGGAACAUCAGUGGCGAAGGCGGCCACCUGGACCGGUAUUGACGCUGAGGUGCGAAAGCGUGGGGAGCAAACAGG
This 429-nucleotide ribosomal RNA is filed under the name Fusobacteriota bacterium. RNAcentral's name for it is "Fusobacteria bacterium partial 16S ribosomal RNA". It matches the Rfam family "Bacterial small subunit ribosomal RNA", at positions 355 to 776 of the family's 1533-position model. Lineage: Bacteria; Fusobacteriati; Fusobacteriota. The record is from RNAcentral.